GUCGCCAGCUCACCUUACAAAAGCCAAACAGUGUGCAAAAUAGUUCCCCACUAAAAAGUCAGGUCAAGGUGUAGUUAAUUGGGGGGACAGCGAUGGGCUACAUUUUCUAGCAAAGAAGCCCCCAGCAAUAUGAAAUAAUGCCAUAAGACGGAUUUAGCAGUAAAUAGAGCAAGAGCCGCUCAAUUGAAGCUCGCCCUGAGACGCGUACACACCGCCCGUCACCCUCCUCAGAAACCAAAAAUCAAAAUAACUAAGCCCCUCCCCCAAAUCUACCAGAUGAGGCAAGUCGUAACAUGGUAAGUGUACUGGAAAGUGCACUUGGCAAAAC
Molecule: ribosomal RNA, 328 nt
Filed under: Gekko hokouensis
Lineage: Eukaryota; Metazoa; Chordata; Lepidosauria; Squamata; Gekkonidae
Description: partial 12S ribosomal RNA
Source: RNAcentral